Molecule: small RNA, 146 nt
Filed under: Niallia circulans
Lineage: Bacteria; Bacillati; Bacillota; Bacilli; Caryophanales; Bacillaceae
Description: Bacillus circulans c-di-AMP sequence
Rfam family: c-di-AMP riboswitch aptamer (ydaO/yuaA leader)
About the family: This family represents a conserved RNA structure found upstream of the ydaO and yuaA genes in Bacillus subtilis and related genes in other bacteria. The ydaO/yuaA element is thought to act as a genetic "off" switch for the ydaO and yuaA genes in its native state. It is believed that the element may be triggered during osmotic shock leading to activation of ydaO, a predicted amino acid transporter gene, and members of the yuaA-yubG operon which code for KtrA and KtrB K+ transporters.
Source: Rfam by way of RNAcentral
AUUUCUAGAUCGCUGAAACCAUACGGUACGGGGGAACCAUUCUUUGCUGGGCGUUUAUUAUGCCCAUGGGGUGAAUCCUUUUUAAGGUAGGGCUACUCAAGGCCCGAAUCCGACAGCUAACCUCGUAAGCGUUAAUAUGAGAAGGA